GGUCAGGAUAGGCCCGCGUGCACAUGAUGACCGGACAAACCCGCUCCUCCUCACCACCCUGGAGAAUGAUGGGAAGAAAGGCAAAGACAGAGAGGAAGGAGAGGGAGAAAGGGUUGAUUGAUGAGGUUCAUUUAGUAAAUUCCUUCACUGUGGGAAUGGUCUUAAGUUCACAUAGGAGGUCUGGAGGGCUACAGGGGUGAAAGGGCAACGGGUCAAAGGUCACAGGUCCCGCUCCAUCUAGUUCCACUCUUCAACGGCUCAAAUCUCGUCUAAUGCAACAGAGAACAAGGACUUAUCUCAGCAUGACUGAGCAGCUGAGCAGCAGGAAGGAGGAGGGCAGGUGAAGAGGUAAUCAGCAGGGUUAGUAAUAUGUUGGGUAGUGAGUAACAGAAAGGUGAAGAGGGAGUGAAAUGCGCAUUGAUGUAUGGAUGGAGGUGGGGAGGAAGAAUAAGUACAGAAGAGAAGAAUACAGCUAAAAAGUGGGGAGAAGAAAAAGAGGGCAUGAGGAACAAAGCCAAGAAGGAAUUAAAGGGAAUUAGCAGUACAGUGUGAGGGUGAGAUUAAAUGAGAGUGUGAGAGUUGUGAAGAAAGAUGUAGGAGAGGCAGAGAGAUAACAAAGUAGCUUGAGGACAGUCAGGUUGGUAUUAGACAACAUUACAGACUAAUAAACGAUUUCAGCAAAUAAGA
Molecule: long non-coding RNA, 687 nt
Organism: Siniperca chuatsi (mandarin fish)
Lineage: Eukaryota; Metazoa; Chordata; Actinopteri; Centrarchiformes; Sinipercidae
Exons: 2
Source: RefSeq, a predicted model, not a curated record